This 420-nucleotide ribosomal RNA is filed under the name uncultured bacterium. RNAcentral's name for it is "bacterial SSU rRNA". It matches the Rfam family "Bacterial small subunit ribosomal RNA", at positions 356 to 773 of the family's 1533-position model. The record is from RNAcentral.
AAGGAAUAUUGGUCAAUGGAGGCAACUCUGAACCAGCCAUGCCGCGUGCAGGAUUAAGGCGCUCUGCGUUGUAAACUGCUUUUGCCUGGGGAUAAACCUCUUCAUUUAUGGGGAGCUGAAGGUACCAGGUGAAUAAGCACCGGCUAACUCCGUGCCAGCAGCCGCGGUAAUACGGAGGGUGCAAGCGUUAUCCGGAUUUACUGGGUAUAAAGGGUGCGUAGGCGGUCGCAUAAGUCAGUGGUUAAAGGCGGUAGCUUAACUAUUAGUAUGCCAUUGAUACUGUGCGACUUGAAUACAGUCGAGGUGGGCGGAAUGUAACGUGUAGCGGUGAAAUGCUUAGAUAUGUUACAGAACACCGAUUGCGAAGGCAGCUUGCCAGACUGUUAGUGACGCUGAGGCACGAAAGCGUGGGGAUCAAAC